GCUCCUGAACCACAUGGCACGUGCACAGGCCAGGCUCUCAGUCAGUUGUACAAGAAAACUGCUCGACACCCUACCUUCUCAGACAGGUCAUGAGAAUAAACACACACCAACAACAGAUCCUGGACCACAUACUGUCUGGACAAGUACUAGUCAGAGCAUGUUUUCAACCUUCCAGGCCUGCAUUUGAGUUGAAGAAUGAAAGAAAAAUCUCAGCUGAACUUAGAAGAGGAGCAUAAAUCACUCUUGCAUCCAAGACAAUUGUUUUGUUUCUUUAACUGCACAAAUAUUUCAUAUCAUUUUAGGACAUUACUAUAUUGCUUAGAAGCCCUCUUGAACCUGGGAAUAUGAAUUCCUCAACUAAAAAACAAGGGUAGUUUGUACAACGGAGUUACAACAGCGUGAAAAUUGAAACAGACUUUAACUGUAAAGUCUCUGCUUACCAGAAGCGAGAGACUGGUACAUAGUAAGCCCUCUUUCAUUUACUCGCUGCAGAAGCAAAGCAUUCCCUCAUUUCACCCACUCCUUGAGCCAAUGAUGCCCCCAUUCCUUGAGCUGGUAGUUUCACUGACAGCUCCUCCUACAGCUAUACAGAAGACAAGAACACUUCGUAAUUAUUACCUAUAGUUCACACUUCAGGAUUUAUUCCCUCCACCUCCUAGAAAAUACUGUGUUUUUUAACCUUCUAAAUAAACUUUGUAAAUUAUGUGCAACAGUUCCUCUCUCACCACCCUUCUCUCAUCAUGUAUUUCAAAUUUUUGAUUUGCCUUAGCUAGGGUUUAAUGCGAUGGUUUUCUCCUGAACAGUGAGGCUGAGAGCAAAACUAGGUCCCUAUCCUCUCCCCUUCCAGAAAAAAAAGUUUGUUGUUUUUUUGUUUUGUUUUUUAAACUACUGAGGGGGAAUGAUCCUUGCAUGCAGUGCUAAUACAAGGGUCUCUCAACAUAUCUGUCAAUUUUCCAGCAUUCUGUGUUAUCCUCCUCCUUCCACAUCAGGCCAGUAAAAUACACACUCUGCGAACUGCUCCGUCACAUGCAAACAAUUUAACAGGAAAAUGCUCCCUACAUGUCAGUAAUUUUGCCCAACUUUCCUGCUCCUCAGCUUGUGAUGGGCAAUCCUAUUUGAUGCCAACUGGGAAUAUAAGCAUUGCGCUGAACACCGCAGAAGCAGCAAUAAUCCAACAAGACUACCCAACUUCAGACAACAUGGUUAUCUAAGACAUAACAUGGAAGGUCCGAUAGCUUUUAUUUCACAUUAAAAGUUUCUUACAUUCACCUGCACAGCUGAAAUCUACUCAGCUGCCCUGCCUCACCCUGACACAAACUUGGUUUUAGGAAAAGUAAAUUUUAUUUGGAGUGAAAAGGAAGCACACGAAUACCACAAUAUAAUGUAUAGAAACAAAGUCAUUGUCAAAAAUCAGGAGUAGGAAUAUGUAAUUAUGGGUUAUGGCCAAAAAAAAUCAGAUUCUUUGUAUUAAAUCUUAACGGUUAUAAAUGAAAAUCAUUCUAGAUUGUUUUACAACACUAAUAAACCAAAUAUGUCAAUGUCAUAAGGUGAAUACUUAUUUUCCCUACAUCUAAGGCAAAUACAUGGAAUAUUCUUCAUGUUAUUUCUAGAGCAUCUUCAGUUUAUAAUUACAAAAUUGUUUGUGCUUUGUUAGCUCUCCAGAGAAAGAUCUUCUAUUAGUUAUGUAAAAAGGAAUUUAAAAGGGCAUCAAAAUGUUAGACUUCUCACCAAA
Long non-coding RNA from Cygnus olor (mute swan), 1732 nucleotides. RefSeq lists it as uncharacterized. The transcript is spliced from 2 exons. The record is from RefSeq and is a predicted model, not a curated record. Lineage: Eukaryota; Metazoa; Chordata; Aves; Anseriformes; Anatidae.